RNAcentral lists this ribosomal RNA (495 nucleotides) under uncultured bacterium. RNAcentral's name for it is "bacterial SSU rRNA". It matches the Rfam family "Bacterial small subunit ribosomal RNA", at positions 28 to 502 of the family's 1533-position model. The record is from RNAcentral.
GACGAACGCUGGCGGCGUGCUUAAUACAUGCAAGUCGAGCGAGACUCUUGAUGAAGCUUGCGAUUCAAGAGUUUAGCGGCGGACGGGUGAGUAACGCGUGGGUAACCUACCCAUCAGCGGGGGAUAACACUUGGAAACAGGUGCUAAUACCGCAUAAUUCUUUUCUUCGCCUGGAGGAAAGAUGAAAGACGCUUUUGCGUCACUGAUGGAUGGACCCGCGCUGCAUUAGCUAGUUGGUGGGGUAACGGCUCACCAAGGCCACGAUGCAUAGCCGACCUGAGAGGGUGAUCGGCCACACUGGGACUGAGACACGGCCCAGACUCCUACGGGAGGCAGCAGUAGGGAAUCUUCGGCAAUGGACGAAAGUCUGACCGAGCAACGCCGCGUGAGUGAAGAAGGUUUUCGGAUCGUAAAACUCUGUUGUUAGAGAAGAAUAAGGAUGAGAGUAGAAUGUUCAUCCCUUGACGGUAUCUAACCAGAAAGCCACGGCUAAAC